This 440-nucleotide ribosomal RNA is filed under the name uncultured bacterium. Its description in RNAcentral is "partial 16S ribosomal RNA". It matches the Rfam family "Bacterial small subunit ribosomal RNA", at positions 338 to 795 of the family's 1533-position model. The record is from RNAcentral.
CCUACGGGCGGCAGCAGUGGGGAAUAUUGCACAAUGGGGGAAACCCUGAUGCAGCGACGCCGCGUGAGUGAAGAAGUAAUUCGUUAUGUAAAGCUCUAUCAGCAGGGAAGAAAAUGACGGUACCUGAGUAAGAAGCCCCGGCUAACUACGUGCCAGCAGCCGCGGUAAUACGUAGGGGGCAAGCGUUAUCCGGAUUUACUGGGUGUAAAGGGAGCGUAGACGGUUGUGCAAGUCUGAAGUGAAAGCCUGCGGCUCAACUGCGGAACGGCUUUGGAAACUGUGUAACUGGAGUGCUGGAGAGGUAAGCGGAAUUCCUGGUGUAGCGGUGAAAUGCGUAGAGAUCAGGAGGAACACCGGCGGCGAAGGCGGCUUACUGGACAGUAACUGACGUUGAGGCUCGAAAGCGUGGGGAGCAAACAGGAUUAGAUACCCUGGUAGUC